UNCCACUAAACAGUGCUCCCUGGCCCCU
RNAcentral lists this non-coding RNA (28 nucleotides) under Rattus norvegicus (Norway rat). Lineage: Eukaryota; Metazoa; Chordata; Mammalia; Rodentia; Muridae. The record is from RNAcentral.